GAAAAAACCAAUAAGACAAGGAACAAAAAUUGAAAUUCAAACUUCAAAACUUUCACCAUUUUAGGCAAGAUACCUUUUUCUGAAGGUUCGGACCAUUCCAAAACGGGAAAGUAGGAACAAAAGUUUGAGAUUCGAUCUUAACGUCCUUGGGCGCGACAUGAAGAAAUAUUAUGCUACGAAGGACGAUUCGCGUGACCUGCUGUUGCUUUUUCUACUGCGAUGGUACGAGCUGAGGGAGACUUUGAAGAAGGAGAUAAAAGCGACGCAGAGUGCGUACGCGCCUUGCUGAGCUGUGAACGUUUUCCAUUAACUAGCUCUCGCGUUAGGUGCGUCUAGGCGUCGUCUCGCCGUCACACGCAAUGUCGUUUGAUCUGCUUCACAUCGUGUACUUGCUAUAGUUGUUGAUGUUCUGGGUUUCUUUGUGG
This 425-nucleotide unclassified non-coding RNA is filed under the name Hevea brasiliensis (rubber tree). The record is from RNAcentral. Lineage: Eukaryota; Viridiplantae; Streptophyta; Magnoliopsida; Malpighiales; Euphorbiaceae.